AGUGAACGCUGGCGGUAGGCCUAACACAUGCAAGUCGAACGGCAGCACAGUAAGAGCUUGCUCUUACGGGUGGCGAGUGGCGGACGGGUGAGGAAUACAUCGGAAUCUACUUUUUCGUGGGGGAUAACGUAGGGAAACUUACGCUAAUACCGCAUACGACCUACGGGUGAAAGCAGGGGAUCUUCGGACCUUGCGCGAUUGAAUGAGCCGAUGUCGGAUUAGCUAGUUGGCGGGGUAAAGGCCCACCAAGGCGACGAUCCGUAGCUGGUCUGAGAGGAUGAUCAGCCACACUGGAACUGAAACACGGUCCAGACUCCUACGGGAGGCAGCAGUGGGGAAUAUUGGACAAAGGGCGCAAGCCUGAUCCAGCCAUACCGCGUGGGUGAAGAAGGCCUUCGGGUUGUAAAGCCCUUUUGUUGGGAAAGAAAAGCAGCAGGUUAAUACCCCGCUGUUCUGACGGUACCCAAAGAAUAAGCACCGGCUAACUUCGUG
RNAcentral lists this ribosomal RNA (492 nucleotides) under uncultured bacterium. RNAcentral's name for it is "partial 16S ribosomal RNA". It matches the Rfam family "Bacterial small subunit ribosomal RNA", at positions 29 to 507 of the family's 1533-position model. The record is from RNAcentral.